This 410-nucleotide ribosomal RNA is filed under the name uncultured Nitrososphaerota archaeon. RNAcentral's name for it is "bacterial SSU rRNA". It matches the Rfam family "Archaeal small subunit ribosomal RNA", at positions 451 to 861 of the family's 1478-position model. Lineage: Archaea; Thermoproteati; Nitrososphaerota. The record is from RNAcentral.
UCUGGUGUCAGCCGCCGCGGUAAAACCAGCACCUCAAGUGGUCAGGAUGAUUAUUGGGCCUAAAGCAUCCGUAGCCUGCUUUGUUAGUUUUCGGUUAAAUCCAUAUGCUCAACGUAUGGGCUGCCGGGAAUACUGCAAAGCUAGGGAGUGGGAGAGGUAGACGGUACUCGGUAGGAAGGGGUAAAAUCCUUUGAUCUAUUGAUGACCACCUGUGGCGAAGGCGGUCUACCAGAACACGUCCGACGGUGAGGGAUGAAAGCUGGGGGAGCAAGCCGGAUUAGAUACCCGGGUAGUCCCAGCUGUAAACUAUGCAAACUCGGUGAUGCAUUGGCUUGAUGCCAAUGCAGUGCCGCAGGGAAGCCGUUAAGUUUGCCGCCUGGGAAGUACGUACGCAAGUAUGAAACUUAAAG